UCUUCUAGUCACCUUUCACGUCUUCUGUUGUUUACUUUAAGCAGGUAAAUGAAAAGAAUAUGAUAAUUAUGAGGGGAAUCUAUUAUGCAUCAGGUCUGCCAAACAGUUUCUGUAAUGCUUGUAUAAGGCUAAUGAUUAAGGGAUAUGUAGAACACAUCUAAACCGUGUUGAGUAAUUUUCCCGGGGCAAAAUGUCGCUGUAGUGUGGGACAUUCACGACGUCCCCAUCAUGCACCUUUUAUGGUUAUGUUUCAGUGUAAUGUUACGUUAAGUAUCUGAUAACAGAGAACGUACAGGUGUGUGAAAUGUCCCCACUCAGCAGGGUUUAUUCAAGAUGAGUGAAAUGUCCCCACUAGGCAUAGUCUAUGUGACAGCAGACAGAGGUUGACAAAGCAGGACAAAAUAUGAGAGUAGAAUUCCUUCUCACUAGUCUGGUGUGUGGGCAUGUAUUUGACCCAAGAGGUAGAACAUUUAUUAAAAGAAUAAAAUAUUAUGCAGUGUUUACAUUAAAUUGACUGAUUUACUUUUUGUAUCAAAUUGCAGAUGACUACAUGUGAACCUGACACGCCCUGUGUGAGCUCCCAGUCUGUGCUCAUGUCAGAGCCACAAUGGGAUGAAGCUGCCUGGUUAGAGGACACUGGUCAACAGGUAAUUCAUGUCCAUCACUUAAUGUUUUCCUCUAGUGUCUUCUAGUUACCUUUGAUGUCUUCUGUUGUCUACUUUAAGCAGGUAAAUGAAAAGAAUCCGAUAAUUAUGAGGGGAAUCUAUUAUACAUCAGGUCUGCCAAACAGUUUUCUGUAAUGCUUGUAUAAGGCUAAUGAUUAAGGGAUAUGUUGGACACAUCUAAACCUUGUUGAGUAAUUUUCCCGGGGCAAAAUGUCACUGUAAUCUGGGACAUUCACGACGUCCCCACAAUGCACCUUUUAUGGUUUUGUUUCAGUGUUAUGUUAUGUUAAGUGUUUGAUAACCGAGAACGUACAGGUGUGUGAAAUGUCCCCACUCAGCAGGGUUUAUUCAAGAUGUGUGAAAUGUCCCCACUACGCAUAGUCUAUUUGACAGCAGAGAGAGGUUGACAAAGCAGGACAAAAUAUGACGCUAGAAUUCUUUCUCACUAGUCUGCUGUGUUGGCAUGUAUUUGAUCCAAGAGACAUGUCUUUUAGAAAAUGUCUUAAAAUAAUAUAAUAUUAUGCAGUGUUUACAUGAAAUUGACUGAUUUACUUUUUGUAUCAAAUUGCAGAUGACUACAUGUGAACCUGACACGCACUGUGUGAGCUCCCAGCCUGUGCUCAUGUCAGAGCCAAAGUGGGAUGAAGCUGCCUGGUUAGAGGACACUGGUCACCAGAAGAGGAAACUGUUGGAGGCACGGAGGGGGAAUAAAAUCCCAGCAAAACAGAGACGCAAACUGCCACCAGCAGAAGAUGGAGCAUCUUUUCCAGUCUGUGCUGUGAGCCAUGUUCUUCCAAAGGAAAGGCUCCACUCAAAAGGGAACCAUGGCAGCCAGCAGAGAUAAAGGCCGUCGAGAGGCACAUAAAGGCUUUAAUACAUGCUUGCACUGUGCCAAAAAUGUCUAACUAAACUAAAUCUGUAGGUGGCGAAGAAGUUAAAGCUGCGUCACGCUUUGAACUAAACACUUUUUCCAUCUAGUGUCGACUGGGUUUUUGGAUUGUCGGUGCCAUUAAAGUAGCAUUAAUAAUCGUCGUAAUAAUCCUAACGAUUAUUAAUGCUACUUUAACGGCAUAGACAUUCCAAAAACCCAGUCGACACUAGAUGGAAAAAGUGUAUAGAACAAAACGUGAUGCAGCUUCCCUUUUUUUCUUCGCAACCUACAGACUUUGUUAUGUACGAUUAUUCAAACACGCCAUGUUAUUUAAUAUAGACAUUUGACCGAGGGAAACGGAGCCUCAGAGGUCGAACUUAUUCUCUCGAGGUCUAUGUGACUUCCAUUUAUAUUGUGACUAUUCUGUAUCUUGAUGCCUCUUCCUGGCCCACAAGGAUACACCAGCAGGUUCUGACAUGUAUUAACCGCACUCUGAUGGCUCGAGUCUGUGCGUGAUGUGUGUCUAUGCUAAUGUAUGUAUGUGCUGGUAUACUUUUAAAAAUAAAGUAUCAAUGCAUCUAAUUCUCCAUCCGUCUCUGGUGCUAUUUACUGUGGACCCACACCUGUUUGGGAGAUCCCUCCCAUGUGUGAGGGUGGCAUCGAUGGUGUUGGUAAAAUAAAAACCCAUACACACACAUAGUGCACGGUAAUAUCAUGAAAUAAGUUGGUAUCACGCCACAUAUAGAUGGUGGAUGGCCAAGAGGAACAUUUGCAGAGGGCAUGGCCGCCCCUGGUUCCAGGGGCUCUCGGAAAUUGAGAGGUUAAAACACCUUGGCCCUCUGGCUAUACUCUAUAUACUCUCCUCGGGCUAUAUAUAUUUAUGUACAAUCAGGUCCCCAUUAGUCACCAAAUAAUCUGUGUGAAAUAUUCUAAUUUAUGUAAAUGAUGUCCCCUGAAAGCAUGUUUACUGGUUCUUCCGGAAGUCCCCAUAAAGCCUGGUUAAACCAUCACUUCAUCAUUUCAGAGUUUUGAAGUUGUGUAUAGGUUAACUAAGCUAUGGCAAGUUUACUGAAUUUUUUUCAGCUCUCUACAACCUCUGGAAAGGGUGGUCCUCACAAGUGAUGAUUAUAAAGGUCGUCCUCAUGAGUGAUGAAAACCAGUAUGUGUGUGUGUGUGUGUGUGUGUGUGUGUGUGUGUGUGUGUGUG
Molecule: long non-coding RNA, 2742 nt
Organism: Gadus chalcogrammus (walleye pollock)
Lineage: Eukaryota; Metazoa; Chordata; Actinopteri; Gadiformes; Gadidae
Exons: 3
Source: RefSeq, a predicted model, not a curated record